RNAcentral lists this ribosomal RNA (497 nucleotides) under uncultured bacterium. RNAcentral describes it as "partial 16S ribosomal RNA". It matches the Rfam family "Bacterial small subunit ribosomal RNA", at positions 28 to 507 of the family's 1533-position model. The record is from RNAcentral.
GAUGAACGCUGGCGGCGUGCCUAAUACAUGCAAGUCGAGCGAACGGACGAGAAGCUUGCUUCUCUGAUGUUAGCGGCGGACGGGUGAGUAACACGUGGAUAACCUACCUAUAAGACUGGGAUAACUUCGGGAAACCGGAGCUAAUACCGGAUGAUAUUUUGAACCGCAUGGUUCAAAAGUGAAAGACGGUCUUGCUGUCACUUAUAGAUGGAUCCGCGCUGCAUUAGCUAGUUGGCAAGGUAACGGCUUACCAAGGCAACGAUGCAUAGCCGACCUGAGAGGGUGAUCGGCCACACUGGAACUGAGACACGGUCCAGACUCCUACGGGAGGCAGCAGUAGGGAAUCUUCCGCAAAGGGCGAAAGCCUGACGGAGCAACGCCGCGUGAGUGAUGAAGGUCUUCGGAUCGUAAAACUCUGUUAUUAGGGAAGAACAUAUGUGUAAGUAACUGUGCACAUCUUGACGGUACCUAAUCAGAAAGCCACGGCUAACUACGUG